RNAcentral lists this ribosomal RNA (454 nucleotides) under uncultured bacterium. Its description in RNAcentral is "bacterial SSU rRNA". It matches the Rfam family "Bacterial small subunit ribosomal RNA", at positions 340 to 786 of the family's 1533-position model. The record is from RNAcentral.
UACGGAAGGCAGCAGUGGGGAAUAUUGCACAAUGGGCGCAAGCCUGAUGCAGCCAUGCCGCGUGUAUGAAGAAGGCCUUCGGGUUGUAAAGUACUUUCAGUCGUGAGGAAGGUGUUAAGGUUAAUAACCUUAGCAAUUGACGUUAGCGACAGAAGAAGCACCGGCUAACUCCGUGCCAGCAGCCGCGGUAAUACGGAGGGUGCGAGCGUUAAUCGGAAUUACUGGGCGUAAAGGGCACGCAGGCGGUCAAUUAAGUUGGAUGUGAAAUCCCCGGGCUUAACCUGGGAAUGGCAUUCAAGACUGGUUAGCUAGAGUCUUGUAGAGGGGGUAGAAUUCCAUGUGUAGCGGUGAAAUGCGUAGAGAUGUGGAGGAAUACCGGUGGCGAAGGCGGCCCCUGGGACAAAGACUGACGCUCAUGUGCGAAAGCGUGGGGAGCAAACAGGGAUUAGAUACC